GAUGAACGCUGGCGGCGUGCCUAACACAUGCAAGUCGAACGAAGCACCUUACCUGAUUCUUCGGAUGAAAGUUUGGUGACUGAGUGGCGGACGGGUGAGUAACGCGUGGGUAACCUGCCCUGUACAGGGGGAUAACAGCUGGAAACGGCUGCUAAUACCGCAUAAGCGCACGAGGAGACAUCUCCUUGUGUGAAAAACUCCGGUGGUACAGGAUGGGCCCGCGUCUGAUUAGCUGGUUGGCAGGGUAACGGCCUACCAAGGCAACGAUCAGUAGCCGGUCUGGGAGGAUGAACGGCCACAUUGGAACUGAGACACGGUCCAAACUCCUACGGGAGGCAGCAGUGGGGAAUAUUGCACAAUGGGGGAAACCCUGAUGCAGCAACGCCGCGUGAGUGAAGAAGUAUUUCGGUAUGUAAAGCUCUAUCAGCAGGGAAGAUAAUGACGGUACCUGACUAAGAAGCUCCGGCUAAAUACGUG
This 477-nucleotide ribosomal RNA is filed under the name uncultured bacterium. RNAcentral's name for it is "partial 16S ribosomal RNA". It matches the Rfam family "Bacterial small subunit ribosomal RNA", at positions 28 to 507 of the family's 1533-position model. The record is from RNAcentral.